RNAcentral lists this unclassified non-coding RNA (374 nucleotides) under Hevea brasiliensis (rubber tree). The record is from RNAcentral. Lineage: Eukaryota; Viridiplantae; Streptophyta; Magnoliopsida; Malpighiales; Euphorbiaceae.
ACCAAACCAAACUCAAUAUCUGUUCGAAUUAUUUGUUUAGAGAUGGUCAGAUGGUUGAGAGAACAUAAAGGUCUUCACAUUUACGUUGAACCUCGUGUCAAAAAUGAGCUUCUGACAGAGUCAGACUACUACAAUUUUGUCCAGACAUGGAAAAGAGACGAUGAAAUUAUGCUUCUCCACACAAAAGUUGAUCUUGUGGUUACUCUUGGCGGAGAUGGAACAGUGCUUUGGGCAGCAUCAAUGUUUAAAGGACCAGCUCCUCCACUUGUUCCAUUUUCUUUAGGGUCUCUGGGUUUUAUGACUCCUUUUCACAGCGAGCAUUACAAAGAAUGCUUGGAUUCAGUUCUAAAGGGUCCAAUUAGUAUAACAUUGCG